AUACGGAGGGUGCAAGCGUUACUCGGAAUCACUGGGCGUAGAGCGCGCGCAGGCGGUCUUUUAAGUUGGAUGUGAAAGCCUACGGCUCAACCGUAGAACUACAUCCAAAACUAUUAGACUAGAGUGUGGGAGAGGAAGAUGGAAUUAGUUGUGUAGGGGUAAAAUCCGUAGAGAUAACUAGGAAUACCAAAAGCGAAGGCAAUCUUCUGGAACACUACUGACGCUGAGGCGCGAAAGCGUGGGGAGCAAACAGUAUUAGAAACCCGAGUAGUCC
RNAcentral lists this ribosomal RNA (274 nucleotides) under uncultured bacterium. RNAcentral describes it as "partial 16S ribosomal RNA". It matches the Rfam family "Bacterial small subunit ribosomal RNA", at positions 523 to 796 of the family's 1533-position model. The record is from RNAcentral.